CCUACGGGAGGCAGCAGUGAGGAAUAUUGGACAAUGGGCGCGAGCCUGAACCAGCCAAGUAGCGUGAAGGAUGAAUGCCCUACGGGUUGUAAACUUCUUUUAUAAAGGAAUAAAGUGAGGCACGUGUGCCUUUUUGCAUGUACUUUAUGAAUAAGGAUCGGCUCACUCCGUGCCAGCAGCCGCGGUAAUACGGAGGAUCCGGGCGUUAUCCGGAUUUAUUGGGUUUAAAGGGAGCGUAGAUGGGUUGUUAAGUCAGUUGUGAAAGUUUGCGGCUCAACCGUAAAAUUGCUAUUGAUACUGGCAGCCUUGAGUACAGUUGAGGUAGGCGGAAUUCGUGGUGUAGCGGUGAAAUGCUUAGAUAUCACGAAGAACUCCGAUUGCGAAGGCAGCUUACUAAACUGCCACUGACAUUGAUGCUCGAAAGUGUGGGUAUCAAACAGGAUUAGAUACCCGGGUAGUC
Molecule: ribosomal RNA, 460 nt
Filed under: uncultured bacterium
Lineage: Bacteria
Description: partial 16S ribosomal RNA
Rfam family: Bacterial small subunit ribosomal RNA
Source: RNAcentral